GUGCUCGCUUCGGCAGCACACAUACUAAAAUUGGAACGAUACAGAGACGAUUAGCAUGGCCCCAGCGCAAGGAUGAUUAUCUUUCUUGCCCAUCUUGUU
Molecule: small nuclear RNA, 99 nt
Organism: Mustela putorius furo (domestic ferret)
Lineage: Eukaryota; Metazoa; Chordata; Mammalia; Carnivora; Mustelidae
Source: Ensembl